This 253-nucleotide ribosomal RNA is filed under the name uncultured bacterium. RNAcentral's name for it is "partial 16S ribosomal RNA". It matches the Rfam family "Bacterial small subunit ribosomal RNA", at positions 524 to 776 of the family's 1533-position model. The record is from RNAcentral.
UACGUAGGGUGCAAGCGUUGUCCGGAAUUAUUGGGCGUAAAGGGUGCGUAGGCGGGUCUUUAAGUCAGGGGUGAAAUCCUGGAGCUCAACUCCAGAACUGCCUUUGAUACUGAAGAUCUUGAGUUCGGGAGAGGUGAGUGGAACUGCGAGUGUAGAGGUGAAAUUCGUAGAUAUUCGCAAGAACACCAGUGGCGAAGGCGGCUCACUGGCCCGAUACUGACGCUGAGGCACGAAAGCGUGGGGAGCAAACAGG